RNAcentral lists this unclassified non-coding RNA (346 nucleotides) under uncultured bacterium. Its description in RNAcentral is "contains 16S-23S intergenic spacer region". The record is from RNAcentral.
AAUCCAAGAAUUUCACCUCUGACAGUUAAAUACGAAUGCCCCCAACUAUCCCUAUCAAUCAUUACCUCAGCUCUAGAAACCAACAAAAUAGAACCGAGGUCCUAUCUUAUUAUUCCAUGCUAAUGUAUUCAAGGCGUGCGCUUGCUUGAAACACUCUAAUUUCCUCAAAGUAAAUGUCCUAAAUACCGCACCACACAGUCAAGUGCAGCUACGUUCUUCAGGAAGAUGCCAAGGCUGAGCCAGAUGCCUGUCCAGAGGACGGACCGGUCAUCCUCAGCAGAAAUCCAACUACGAGCUUUUUAACCGCAACAACUUUAAUAUACGCUAUUGGAGCUGGAAUUACCGC